RNAcentral lists this transfer RNA (89 nucleotides) under Planctomycetaceae bacterium. RNAcentral's name for it is "tRNA-Ala". The record is from RNAcentral. Lineage: Bacteria; Pseudomonadati; Planctomycetota; Planctomycetia; Planctomycetales; Planctomycetaceae.
AGGGUUAUCAAACUUCGGGCAUCUGGGGGAACCCCCCUGGAAUCUGGCUGGCAGCCAGAAGGUCAUCGGUUCGAGUCCGUUAUCCUCCA